GGGGGGCCGUAGGGUGACCUGCGGAGGGAUCAUUACACAAAUAUGAAGGCGGGCUGGAACCUCUCGGGGUUACAGCCUUGCUGAAUUAUUCACCCUUGUCUUUUGCGUACUUCUUGUUUCCUUGGUGGGUUCGCCCACCACUAGGACAAACAUAAACCUUUUGUAAUUGCAAUCAGCGUCAGUAACAAAUUAAUAAUUACAACUUUCAACAACGGAUCUCUUGGUUCUGGCAUCGAUGAAGAACGCAGCGAAAUGCGAUAAGUAGUGUGAAUUGCAGAAUUCAGUGAAUCAUCGAAUCUUUGAACGCACAUUGCGCCCUUUGGUAUUCCAAAGGGCAUGCCUGUUCGAGCGUCAUUUGUACCCUCAAGCUUUGCUUGGUGUUGGGCGUCUUGUCUCUAGCUUUGCUGGAGACUCGCCUUAAAGUAAUUGGCAGCCGGCCUACUGGUUUCGGAGCGCAGCACAAGUCGCACUCUCUAUCAGCAAAGGUCUAGCAUCCAUUAAGCCUUUUUUUCAACUUUUGACCUCGGAUCAGGUAGGGAUACCCGCUGAACUUAA
Molecule: ribosomal RNA, 555 nt
Filed under: Alternaria brassicae
Lineage: Eukaryota; Fungi; Ascomycota; Dothideomycetes; Pleosporales; Pleosporaceae
Description: eukaryotic LSU rRNA
Rfam family: 5.8S ribosomal RNA (bases 201-354)
Source: RNAcentral